CGUCUCCUUCGGGAGACAAGUAGAGCGGCGCACGGGUGAGUAACACGUGAGUAACCUACCUCGGGGUACGGGAUAACCAUUGGAAACGAUGGCUAAUACCGUAUGAGCCCACAGCUUCGCAGGGAGCGGUGGGAAAAGCGGGCUUCGGCUCGCGCCUUGGGAUGGGCUCGCGGCCCAUUAGCUAGUUGGUGGGGUAACGGCCCACCAAGGCUGAGAUGGGUAGCUGGUCUGAGAGGAUGAUCACCCACUCUGGGACUGAGACACGGCCCACACUCCUACGGGAGGCAGCAGUGGGGAAUCUUGCGCAAUGGACGAAAGUCUGACGCAACAACGCCGCGUGGGUGAUGAAGGCCCUUGGGUCGUAAAGCCCUGUCAGGAGGGAAGAAAGUCGUACGGUUAAUACCCGUGCGAAUUGACGGUACCUUCAAAGGAAGCACCGGCUAACUCCGUGCCAGCAGCCGCGGUAAUACGGAGGGUGCGAGCGUUGUUCGGAAUCAUUGGGCGUAAAGAGAGCGUA
This 517-nucleotide ribosomal RNA is filed under the name uncultured delta proteobacterium. RNAcentral describes it as "bacterial SSU rRNA". It matches the Rfam family "Bacterial small subunit ribosomal RNA", at positions 72 to 573 of the family's 1533-position model. The record is from RNAcentral. Lineage: Bacteria; Deltaproteobacteria.